GACGAACGCUGGCGGCGUGCCUAAUACAUGCAAGUGGGACGCAAGGGAACACACUGUGCUUGCACACCGAGUUUUCUUGAGUCGCGAACGGGUGAGUAACGCGUAGGUAACCUGCCUAUUAGCGGGGGAUAACUAUUGGAAACGAUAGCUAAUACCGCAUAAUAUUAAUUAUUGCAUGAUAAUUGAUUGAAAGAUGCAAGCGCAUCACUAGUAGAUGGACCUGCGUUGUAUUAGCUAGUUGGUAAGGUAAGAGCUUACCAAGGCGACGAUACAUAGCCGACCUGAGAGGGUGAUCGGCCACACUGGGACUGAGACACGGCCCAGACUCCUACGGGAGGCAGCAGUAGGGAAUCUUCGGCAAUGGACGAAAGUCUGACCGAGCAACGCCGCGUGAGUGAAGAAGGUUUUCGGAUCGUAAAGCUCUGUUGUAAGUCAAGAACGUGUGUGAGACGUG
RNAcentral lists this ribosomal RNA (454 nucleotides) under Streptococcus mutans. Its description in RNAcentral is "bacterial SSU rRNA". It matches the Rfam family "Bacterial small subunit ribosomal RNA", at positions 28 to 464 of the family's 1533-position model. The record is from RNAcentral. Lineage: Bacteria; Bacillati; Bacillota; Bacilli; Lactobacillales; Streptococcaceae.